GCGCAGUGGGACCAGAAGGACCAAGAGGGCAGCCUGGUAUAGAUGGCAAUGAUGGGCAUGGUCACUCAGGAAGAAAAGGAGCUAAGGGUGAACCUGGCUUCCCUGGAUACCCUGGCAUACAAGGGGAAGAUGGUGAUAAAGGCCAAUCAGGAAACCAAGGACCAAAGGGAUUUCCGGGGAAAAGGGGAAAUUCUGGCUCGCCUGGGCUGGAUGGAUCACCAGGAGAUCCAGGGUCCCCUGGACCAAUGGUAACAUGUUAUUUAGAUUAACUUUUCGUGUAAAAAAUACUGAAUGUAGGAAGCCUC
Vombatus ursinus (common wombat) is the source of this 305-nucleotide long non-coding RNA. Lineage: Eukaryota; Metazoa; Chordata; Mammalia; Diprotodontia; Vombatidae. The record is from Ensembl.